This 10182-nucleotide long non-coding RNA is filed under the name Musa acuminata (dwarf banana). RNAcentral's name for it is "long non-coding RNA (MACU_LNC002236)". Lineage: Eukaryota; Viridiplantae; Streptophyta; Magnoliopsida; Zingiberales; Musaceae. The record is from RNAcentral.
UAAUGAUGCGACCACAUAAAUUCUUUCUCUAAGGUAUAAUUCCUGGAUGUACCUUGAUUUGCUUGGUCGACGACUUCAGAGAAGCCAUAAGGUGAGUCUCUCUGCAGAUGCUCGGUUUCUUCGUCACCUUUAACCAAACAAUGUCCUGUUUUUUUCAGUCUGAUCCUUCUCAAGUUCUGUAAUUUAUAUUCCACCUCUUUCAUCGUAGGCCGUUUAACCCCUUUUAAUCUUAAACACAUUUCUACCAAUCCAAUCAUAUCGAUAAGCUCUUCUUCGGUCGCUUCUUUCAUAACAAGAUCAUCUAUAAGAUCAAAGGGGCGAUUCGCUCUCACCGUUUGAANNNNNNNNNNNNNNNNNNNNNNNNNNNNNNNNNNNNNNNNNNNNNNNNNNNNNNNNNNNNNNNNNNNNNNNNNNNNNNNNNNNNNNNNNNNNNNNNNNNNNNNNNNNNNNNNNNNNNNNNNNNNNNNNNNNNNNNNNNNNNNNNNNNNNNNNNNNNNNNNNNNNNNNNNNNNNNNNNNNNNNNNNNNNNNNNNNNNNNNNNNNNNNNNNNNNNNNNNNNNNNNNNNNNNNNNNNNNNNNNNNNNNNGUAGGUGUCAAAGAUUCAUCUGUUGAUAUGAUCUCAAAGUGGUCAGCAGCACAAUUCGGAAAAAGAUUAAUGUACCUUUUUUCCGGAGUCUAUAAUUGAUAUAUAUAUAUAUAUAUAUAUAUAUAUAUCAUUUAUAUUUGAGUCUAUGAUACUUGCACCACGAAUAAAAGAGCAUGCCUCAUGAUUUUAAUUCAAUCUUUAAUCUUUAUGGAUCCAAGUGGUAAUUUUCUACAAAUAAUAACGGUGUUACACCUUGACCUCGAAAGGUCCGUUUGUAUACCUUUAAGGAUCUAAUAAAAAGGUUUUUCUUUUGGGAAAAAAAAAAACAGUAUUACACUAGAUGGAUUGUCGUACAAUUAGGCACCUUCGUUACUGUUUGAGUUUCUAGAAAUCAUCAGGAACUUAACAUAACAGAGAAGCAUGAUUCUGCAUCACUAUGAUCCCAGUUAAUUAUACGUAUUCGAACUCAUUCAAAGAGAGUUAAAGAGGAGGAAAAUUACCUUGACAGCCAUUAGGUACAUAGGGAUUGCCUUGAUAACUUGCGGAACAUUGACACAAAUAUCCACUGCUAUUACUCAAGUACAUUGUCUCAGUCAUGACAUCACGGCAAAGACUAUUUUGACUGACGCAGGCGUAUGUAUCAGUAUUAAUGGCCUCUUCACAUGAAAGAUGAUCAUUCAUGUACCAUGCCAGGGUGGCCUCUACAUUCGUUCUGCUUCCGUUUAAUACUCCUUCGCGAUCAUCAGCAUCAGCAUCGAACAUGAUGAACUUGAUGCCGGAGGUAUUCACCAAGUGUAACUCUCUUUGAUUGAGUCGAGUUAGCUGAAUCUCCAAGGCAGUUGUAUUAUUAAAAUCUAGAUCCAAUGUGCAAUAUCCACUGUUAACGUCGGACCACUCUGAAUAUUGACUCGGAUCACUGGCAGCACAGAGACUGAAACAAGUGCUAAUGGUUUUGUUGGUGGUAAGAUCCACUAGACUGGCCAUAGCGCUACAACCCACAACGUCAAGUCUGUUAAGUGUCGAUCCUGUAUAAGAAUUACGUGACGUCUGUCUCGUCAAGUCAAAAGAGUAAGGCCAGUUCUCCAGAUCAAUCAGUGAGGCGCGUUUAAACUCAUCGUCGACACCCAUGACGACAAUUGGUGGUUUGAUAUAGACAACCCCCUUGUUCAUGUCAAUUCUCGUUACCUCGAUGGUGCCAUCACCCAGGAAAAGCCUGGGAGCACUGGUGGAAUGGUUUCUGCAGGUAAGAUUAAAGCCCGGCCGAAAACAACCAUCGCCGAUGCCGAAAGGAUACUCGAAGCUGAUAUUCCCACAACUUUUUGGGCAGAAAAGAGGGAGGGGAAAAGUUGUGUUUGUUGAUCUACUUUCUGUUCUUAUUGAACCCGUUGAUGUGGAUGCCAGCAGAAAGAGUAACAUCUUGACCAACCCCAUCCCUCCUCUUCCCUCUCCUAAUCCGACCAUUUUCCUCUUCCACCUGCCACAUACCGAGUUGCAUUAGUUGGCCAUGCGGACACAAGCAAAAUGUUAUUGUACACGGUUAGAAAACAAAUACUGAUGACCUUUUAAGUCCAUCCGGUCAAAGUUAACAUAUAUUAGGUCAGAUACUAAUUCAAUAUAAAAAUUUUAAAAUAUUAAAUUAUGAGCCAAACUUAAUUAUAGGAUAUGAGACUAUCAAUCUAUCUUUUCAUCUCACAUAUAUAAAUAUUUUCAACAUAAACUUAUGCAACUUUUUUUUCUAACGGAGUUGAUGGAUAAAUUAGAUUACGUCAGAAUGUGAGCAUUUUCAUGGCAUACGAUUAGAGAUGAGAAAACAACAGAGAAAAAACAUUCAUAUAGUUUAAGUCGAAUUAUUCGGAUCUUUGUAUCAUUCUUCGUAUAAAUAGAAAUAGCAAGACGCUUACACUGGUGUUAUCGAGGGAAGGAGCUCCUGAGGCUUGAGCAGCAUAGAGAUAAGAAGAAGACAGUCAGUGAUGCCUCCUCCUAGAGGGACGAACUUGCCUAAUUAUAGAGAGAAAUAGGUUGAGCGGAAAACUGGAGCUAUACAACUCAACAGUCAAUCACGUUGACGAAGACUCAAGACUUUUAGUGUGGAGUGGUAAUUUAUUCUUUGAACUCGUCAUAGUUGAUCCAUCGGGCACGCUUGAUGAUGAUGCUAACCCUUUGACAAACUUUUAACUCGGAUUGUCGUAUACUGCAUGCAACCAUCAUUUUAAUGCGUCGAUCGCUUUGACAUAAUUAGUUUCAUGAGAAUCUCCAUCACAACUAAGAUCAAGGAUCACAAUUUGGCUCUGCUGUGCAAAUAAUACUUCAUUAACUAAUGCGAUAUCUGUCAGAAAACGAGAUCAGGAAGAGCAACAGAUCGGUUGGUUGACAAGACUUGGAAAAUUUAGCGUUUUGAACUCUUGAGAGCUGUUCCAACGGGCAUUAAAAAAGAUGCUACGUAAUUUUCACAGUCCUGAAGAAAUAAUUAUUGCACUUGAUCAUUAUUGAGAUAUAUAUUAUUUUGUCAUGAUAUGUUCUUCCCAACCAGUAAUCGAAUUUCUGAUUUAGCUCGGCCGUGCAAAUGGUUUAUACUUUGAGAGUUACUUUAAGGUGACACAAAGGUAUCAAACAACCGGUUAACACUUAGGUAGUAAAAUGUAUAUGUGAGUCGAAAAAAGGAUUGUCAUGGUAGAUUUUGAUUUCUAACUUUAUUUUGAUUUUUAUUUUUCCAACAAAAGGGAAGAGAAUUAUGUUGCAGUCAACGAAAUACACCCGACAUUGUUCGUUGUCAGAGCAAACCAAAACUUGUCUUUAAGGAUGGAAAAAGUUAGUAUACUCCUCCUUCUAGAGUAUACUAACUUUGAUCAUGAAGAUUAAAUGAUUAUCUUCUUGUUUUGAUGAAUGUAAAUUUUUUUUUCAUGAAUUUAGGGAUAAAACUAGUGUUACUAAUUGGACGACGACUUGGAAGAUGAACGGAUAGAAAGUUGGAAGAAAGACGGGUCGGCAGUGACCGAAUGUCUUCCUUCUUGUGUCACACAAGAAGAAAGACUAAUCAAUAUUCAUUUUCUAGAUAACAUUUAUUGUCAAACUUCAAUUAAUUUCCAAGGCAAAAAUAUUCAUUACCAGUUGAAUUGUUGAAGACGAAUUCACAAGAUGGUAAACCUAAUAAUAAGCAGAAAAAAAAGAUAAUUGAUCGAAUAUAUGCGAUAGUAAAAAUCUAAAUUUUUUGUUCGAUACCUCAAGUCUUAUUAUAAAUCAUGCAACUUGAGGUUCAUAUAUAGAUAAAUACCAAGUAAUAAUCCUCUUUGAAUUUAUCUCCGAGAAAAAUAGGGUCAGAUCUUAUCCUCUUAAUCAAUAAAAAAUCACGAUUAAACUUUUUUUUUGUCAAAGUUUAAGUUAUCAAAUUAGAUGGAACGCGAAGUCUUGAACAAUCGAAUCAUUGGCAAUCUACUGAUCUUCAUCUUCCACAAACUAUAAUUGCAUAGUUUUGUAAACCUUCAUUUUGUUGAAAAUAUAAUAGUGAAUCGAUGUUUAUUUCCUUCGAAAAGUCUAAUCGCGUGGCCAUCCUUAAGUAUACUUUACUUAUUUGAUUUUCUUUUUUCCACAAGAGUCUACGGUAUAAAUUUCUAAGUCAUCUAACGUGAUACAUCAUCAUGUCUAAUCCAUCAAUUCGCUCAUCCUAUCUCCAUGUCUAUAAGAAAACACGUUUAGUCCAUUUUUUUCCUAUUGUGUUGGUUGACAGAGACGCACCGUGCGAUGAUCCACCCGGAAGUCCAUGGUUAGCUGGUUGACCGACUCGACGACUCCCACAAUUCUCACACUUGUAUGACUUUCACGGACAAUUCGUCCAACAUUAUGUGGUUUAGAAACUCAACAAGAAUCCAACUCUCCACCACUCCAAGAGUUUCUGCGUCAAACGUUGACUCUCUCGACUCAGCUGUGCUGGUGACCCCACCUCAUUGAACUAGUCCGUGGCUAAGGGGGUAGACCAACACGAACUCGUCCUGUAAAUUUGGAUCAAACCCAAAUUUAUUUCCUCAUAAAAAUUAAGAGAUAAAAGUCCAUCGAAAUUUGGAUCUUGUAUUGUGCCUCCUUUUCAUGGAUCAGAUUGUAGUUCCUCGGAUGAGCGUGUACCUCCGCUGGUACAUAUUUGGAAAUCCAAUCCACCGACCAAUUACCAAUGCUUUGUUUGUAUCAUAAAAAUUUUGGAUGAAUAUUAUAAAAUAUGUAACCCAACCGCAUCAAAGUGAUCGGAUGGUGUUGUAAAGAACGAUGAACUCCAUCGAAUCGAAUGGUGGGGCUUUGACCAAAUGAACGCACAAAUUAUGCACAUCUUCACAUGAACAUCAACAUACACGACACUAUAUGUUCAUCGAGGAUAGCUUACUGAAUGACAUUAUUUCUUCCUCCAAACUAAAAUUCCGACAUCUUUCUUGGGUUGCUUGUUAUCCAAAUUUAUAGAUUGCUUCGUGGAAAGUGUGACUUGGAUUCUGCAGAAGACACUCCGAAUCUUCAUGAUUGUUACCGGUCCAAUUAUCACUUCUCUGCUUUUUGAUCAUUCUCAACCUAUGCAACUUAACUCUUAACUCCUUUCAUCGUGGGACUAUAGUUUCCUUUUACUUGUAAACAUAUUUCUUUAAAUCUAACAACAUCAUCAAACUCUUCUUUUGUUCUUUUUUUAUCAUCCUGGUCAUGAUUCUAUCAAACUAUCUGGCCAGAAUUCUAAAAUGAUUAAUAUUUUUUAAAAUUUUUACAUGAUUUUAUUAUAAUAAGUUAUCAAAAUUAAAUAUUUUUUUAAUAGGUUCAAUUUCAAAUGUAACUUUCACAUAUGAUUAACUUUUACUAAAAUAUUUAGUAACAUUUUCUUAUUUAUAACAAAAUUAUUAAAAUUAAAAAAUUUUGAAUAGCGUAUGCGAUCAAAUCGAAGCUCUGUCCAACCUCUGCAAGCUCCAAAACCUCCAACUAAGUGGCACGUUUAUCAACGAUUCGCUAGUCAAUUUGGAAGUGUGGCUUUUUCUGGAUGCCUUAAGUUCGGCUUGGAGGACUUGAUCUUUCUGAGAAUUCGCUCCAUGGUUCAGUGCCUGAUUCUCUUUUUAACCUGUCAUUGCUGCAAUCUUUGGUUCUCGUUCUCAACAAUUUGAAUGGGUCGAUUCCCGAAGGCCUCGGACAACUGAGAAGCCUUGUCUAUUUGGAUCUUUCCGGUAACUCAUUGAGCUUGUCUGAAGUCCACUUGGCUAAUCUAUCAAGUUUAAAGUAUUUGCAUAUUUCUUACCGAUAACAGAGAGAUUUACUCUGAUAACAAAGAGAUUUCCUCAACUGCACGAGGAAAUCUCGCUGCUCAGUUGAGCAAAUCGUCUCUUUCACCGUGUAUAAAACCAUAUGAUACUAAUUGGAACGAGCACUUCUUGUUUUUAUCAUUUCACUCUUCAUUCUUCACUUGCAACACGUCGUUCCUGAUGGAAAAUCAUGAUUGGACUCCUCCUUUUCAACUUAUAACCUUUCAGGAGAGCUUCCUAGUUGUUGGAAGAGUUCUUCACUUCUACGAGUGCUAGAUGUAUCAAACAAUAAAUUACAAGGAGGAAUUCCUGAUUCCCUCCGCAAUUUGCAGCGACUGCAAUCACUACACCUGAGCCACAAUAGUUUAUCUGGGCAGGUCCCUUUUUGUUUAAGAAGAUGUACGAGCUUGAUUACCCUUGAUCUAGAACACAAUAAAUUGAUCGGAAAUAUACCGGAUUGGAGCAAAGAAAGCCUCCUGCAGCUGAAGACGAUUAGCUUAAGCUCUAAUUCCUUCGAUGGGAGCAUUCCUCAAUUUUCUCAUCUUCCAUCCCUUCAAAUAUUGGAUCUUUCAAACAAACAACCUUUCCGGAACUAUACCACGAAGCUUCGGGAACUUCCGUGCUAUGGAACUCUCCUUUCAACCAGAUUACUAUGGCACUGAUAAGUCCGUAAGAAUGGAACAGAUAAUUUAUAAGAAAACGAGUAGAGUCCAUUACCGAUGUCUUGUUUUUAGCUUAAUAAGAAUGGGACAAAUUGGUCAUCUUAUCUUGCUUAAUUAUGUAAGAAUGGAAUAAUUAGUCAAAAAGAAAGCACGUGGUGAUCACUUAUAACUUUUAACUUAAUUUACAGAUGACUGUGUUUUUGGCGAGUGAAAAUGAUGCUAGUGGGGAAGCCAUCUACAACGAGUAGUCCAUAUUAAACUUCACAAGAAGCAAUCAUGUGAGUGCCAGUAUAUAUAUAUAUUUAUAUAUAUAUGUAUAUAUAUAUAUAUGUAUAUAUAUAUAUAUACAUAUAUAUACAUAUAUACAUAUAUAUACAUAUAUACAUAUAUACAUAUAUAUAUAUAUAUAUAUAUGUAUAUAUAUAUAUACAUAUAAAUAUAUAUACAUAUAUAUAUAUAUACAUAUAAAUAUAUAUAUAUAUAUAUAUAUAUAUAUAUAUAUACAUAUAUAUAUAUACAUAUAUAUAUAUAUAUAUAUAUACAUAUAUAUAUAUACAUAUAUAUAUAUAUGUAACAUUCAUAUAUGAUUAUUUUUUUACUAAACGAACUCAAAAUUCUACAGAAUCAUAGGAUAUGAUUCUAAAAUAUUUAGUAACAUUUUCUUAUUUAUAUUUUUUUUUGAAAAAUAAUUAUUAAAAUAAAAAAAAAUUGAAUAGCAUAUGCGAUCAAAUCAUUUUAGUAACAGUUUGAGGAUAAUUUCAUUCAAAUGAAAAAAAAAAAGAUGCCCCCAAGUAAAAAUGAAUAUGGGGUUUAAAAUCAAUAAUGAAAGUUUUUUCCAGUAAAAUGUCCUAAAAUAUUUAGAUAUAUGAAUAUUGCUACUAAAAAUUAUUAGUAAAAUUCGAUGUAUAUGCAAACCUUAUAUAAUGUAUACAAGUGCAACAACUAGCUGAUACCGAGGGAAUUUUACAGAAAAAUAAUAAAUCAAUAUUUAUUAUUUGAAAUUAAUAAAAUCAUAUAAAUAGGCUUAAUUAUUUAUGAUAAUCAUUUUUCUGAAUAUUUUUUAUUUUUAUAAAAGCCUUAAUUUAUAUCCACAUUUAAUAAGGAUCCGAAAGAUAUUCUACUCUAGAAAAGGUGGCAUAUAUAUAUAUAUAUAUAUAUCAUAAUUUCUUGGAGUCCAUUUAUUGACUGUAAUCUAUGCGUGAAUUUAAUUAUUGUAUAAAUGUGUCGAGUUACAAAACGAACAGAAAAUUAGUUCUUAUACAUAAAAAAGAAAAAGGAAAAACACUGGCCUCAUCCGAAUGCCUGACUUGUAUGAUUUGCUGCAAACGGUGAUUUCAGGCUGGGAAAACUGAAAGUUCUAACCCGAGUGGAAGGUGAUAUUAGCUAUAGUCGUCCCUGCCCAAAAAACCUCUUGAGAUUUCUUUGAGAAGACAUGGCGUUGAUUUGAUGAUAGUGCUUUGUGAUGUAGUGUCUUGAUGAUUCCUGCCACAGGUUUUCAAACAGUCUCUUCAUCCUCCAAUAAGGGUUGAUAGAGAUGUACAUCGUGGAAACAACUCCUGCUCGGAAAUUUUCCACCUACAAUUUCCAACUAUAUACGUCGGGCAUUUCUCGUGGCCAUGAUAAUUUACAAAGACAUAAAUCAUGAAAGCAACGCCAUAUAUACCCACUUUGAAAUAUCAAACACAUUGAUCGAGUGAUUUUGAGCUAUCUGAGUAUGGGUCAAGUAAACGAUGAUAAUUUGAAGUAUUUUUUUGUUUUUUUAAUUUUUGAUGAAGAAAAUGAUAACUAUAUAAAAUGAUACCGUGGGCACUGAUAAAUUUAGAAGUCCAAAUCGUACAAUAAGUUUUUAGUGCAUGUUAUGUAAUAUUUGUCUAUACAAAAAAUAAUAGAUUAUGUUAGGCAACGUAUGGUAUAUUCAUUAUAUGUUUGGACAUACUAUAUCACCAUUAAUAAUUAUUAGUAGAACAUGAAUUCAAAGGAAAAAAUAAUCAAAUAAAAUCAUAUAAUAGGAUUUUUUAGAUUAUUUGUUUUUCGAAAGAAUUAAAUUAUAGUUGAUAAUUUCUUCUUAUUUUAUUAGAUAUUAGUUUCUAAGUCAUGAUACAUCAUUAUCAUCAUCAUGUCUAAGCCAUCAAUUCGCUCAUCCUAUCUCCAUUGUGAAAACUAAUUAGUUAGCGCGCUAAAAAUAAAAACCUUUGAGGGUAAGGGAGAUUUGACCGAUUUAUGAGCGUUCUCAUACUCCUCAAUUAAUAUGGGACUAAAUUGUCUUAUCAAUUUCUAAGUAAAAUAAUUAUAAAUAUAGUACCUUACUUAUCUUUUAUGAACAAAAAAAUUACUUUUAUCUAAGCUAGUCAAAGAAAGAAAAAGUCGGAGAGGAGUUUUCAUAAGAAUGGAAAAGUUAUUUUUAUUUGAGAAAAUUCUUUAAAAAAACUCAUAUUCUUUAAAAAAUUCUAAGCUACCACUCUUUUCCUAAAAAAUUCUCGUAGAAUAUAUAUAUUUUUUUAAAUAAUAAUAUUGUCCUUCUUCAUCAUUAUCUUCGCUCAACACCGUCACAUAUCAACCUCGCCUCCCCUUUCCUCUUCCUCUAUUAUCGUUGUUAUCUUUGUCAUCCUCACCCUCGCCAUUGUGACGAUAGGUGGAGGAGCAUCCCGUACUCCCUUGUCAUCAUCGUCCUUUCUUUGUUAUAAGAAUGAUAUCUUUAAUUUGAAAGGACGAUGAUAUCUUCAAUUAUAAUUAAGAUAUUUCAAGAAGUCCAUGAGAAUGAGACAGUUAGUCCAUAAGAAAACAAGUAGAGUCCAUUUGUGAUCUAUCUUGUUUUUAACUUCAUAUAUAAAGAACCAUGGACUUGUAAAGUAAAUUAGAAUGAGACGAAUUGGCAAGUCAACGAUGCUAGUGCGAGUGUGGUUAACAAUAACGUUCCAUAUAUAUAUAUAUAUAUAUAUAUAGAGAGAGAGAGAGAGAGAGAGAGAGAGAGAGAGAGAGAGUGAGGGUUCUCUGUCAUGGAUUGGACCGUAGAGUGAAAUGAGCAACCGAAAUGACCUCAUGCCAUCAUCUAAUACAAAAAGAUGUAAAUCCAAACACGACGGAUCUGAGUUAUAACAUAAACCAAUCGUAUUCAAACGAUUUCAGAAAUAUUACCAUAAAACAUGGACCGAGGACGGUCAUAAAACAAGAGAAGAAUGAGUUGUACACACGUGAUUUCAUCAUAUUAAAGGGUAGUUCUCUGAACAUUACAACACAAGUAGAGUACAGACACAUACCUACUAAUUCUACAUGCCAUUCCCACCAACUCGAUCAUAUAUGUGAUAGAGCCAUAAGAUGGAAACUGUUUUAGGAACAAGUUUGGAACAUAACAUUACCCAUAUGACCAUUACAUACGAUCCUCAAGCAGAAGGAAGCUUAUUCAGUGGCAUUCAAGCAGUCAAUAAUGAUAUGGACAUCGAAUACAAACUCACCGUGGGUGAUGAUGCGACCACAUAAAUUCUUUCUCUAAGGUAUAAUUCCUGGAUGUACCUUGAUUUGCUUGGUCGACGACUUCAGAGAAGCCAUAAGGUGAGUCUCUCGGCGGAUGCUCUGUUUCUUCGUCACUUUUAACCAAACAAUGUCCUGUUUUUUUCAGUCUGAUCCUUCUCAAGUUCUGUAAUUUAUACUCCACCUCUUUCAUCGUAGGCCGUUUAAC